Coturnix japonica (Japanese quail) is the source of this 347-nucleotide long non-coding RNA. The record is from Ensembl. NCBI's taxonomy places the organism in Eukaryota, Metazoa, Chordata, Aves, Galliformes, Phasianidae.
GGAAUGCACAGUGUAUCCCAAAUAUUUACACGCUGAGGAGAAGAUAGCACAGUAAGUCUCUUGACACUAACAUACAGAUAGAUAUGAGAAUGUCAAGGAUGCUAAAGUGAUUGUAAGAAUUUGCAUUGACAAGAAAAGAUUGUGUUCAGGUCCUCACCUGCAUGAACCACCAGUGACAACAGCGUACCUCACACAAUGGACCAAGUGCUAUGCAGUUCACAUGAAUAGAAAUGUUGUUCAGCGUAUUAGCAUGGGAAGAAAGGCAGAAAGACUUGAAUAAAAUUAGUAUAUCUGUUUGUGUUUGAACCAGCUACAUAGUUCUAUACCUGUAUCUCAUGAUGAAAAAA